RNAcentral lists this ribosomal RNA (450 nucleotides) under uncultured bacterium. Its description in RNAcentral is "partial 16S ribosomal RNA". It matches the Rfam family "Bacterial small subunit ribosomal RNA", at positions 354 to 796 of the family's 1533-position model. The record is from RNAcentral.
GUGGGGAAUUUUGGACAAUGGGGGCAACCCUGAUCCAGCCAUUCCGCGUGAGUGAAGAAGGCCUUCGGGUUGUAAAGCUCUUUCGGCAGGAACGAAACGGUGAGCUCUAACAUAGCUCGCUAAUGACGGUACCUGAAGAAGAAGCACCGGCUAACUACGUGCCAGCAGCCGCGGUAAUACGUAGGGUGCGAGCGUUAAUCGGAAUUACUGGGCGUAAAGCGGGCGCAGGCGGUUGUGUAAGACAGGUGUGAAAUCCCCGGGCUUAACCUGGGAACGGCGCUUGUGACUGCACGGCUAGAGUAUGGCAGAGGGGGGUGGAAUUCCACGUGUAGCAGUGAAAUGCGUAGAGAUGUGGAGGAACACCGAUGGCGAAGGCAGCCCCCUGGGCCAAUACUGACGCUCAUGCACGAAAGCGUGGGGAGCAAACAGGAUUAGAAACCCGGGUAGUCC